Long non-coding RNA from Ailuropoda melanoleuca (giant panda), 1256 nucleotides. RefSeq lists it as uncharacterized. The transcript is spliced from 4 exons. Lineage: Eukaryota; Metazoa; Chordata; Mammalia; Carnivora; Ursidae. The record is from RefSeq and is a predicted model, not a curated record.
CUCACCCCUGUGCCGCGACCCCGCAGCCCUGGCUGCUGCGGCGUUUUUCCACACCUGAUGCCAGUGACACCGGUCUGCUCAGGCUCUUCUGGAAAGCCCAGGGUUUCAAGGAUGAGGAGAGAAAAAGAAAAAGAAAAGCUGAGCUUCACAGUGCUUUGGUUUUCCGUUGCUCUCACCCGAUCAUUGGAGUCCUUAACGGGUCCCCUCCUUCAAUGAGGCCUUGGAGGACCAGCGGGGCUUUCGCCAUGAGAGCUGACAGGGGAGAGUGGUCCAUCACCUGCAGACGGAAGUGUUGCCUGGCUGGGGAGAGCAAGCAGAGCAGCUGGGUUUUUCCCGGGGCAUUCUUGAAGACCUUUGGACUCGUUGGACCCGGACGGCUAGGGCUGAACUUCAUCGGAUAAAUGGCGACACCAUAUAAGGCUACAUGUUUUCUUUUUCCUAAGAUAAAAGCCUGCCCAGAGCAUCCCCUAGACUCUUGGCAUUUUCUCGAGAAGGAAAACAGCUCCUCAACAUUAAUUAUAUUGCGAAGAUGACCUUAAAUGCAGACUGCAUUUGCGAACCCUGACCACGCUCUUAACUUGGAACACGACGUCUCAGUUUUGACUCUGCUUGCUACCCCUGGCGCUGGGUUACAAGACACAAAACAACGCUUUGCGUGUUGUGCAGGAAAAAUCACUCAGACACCGCAUCUCUCACGUUCCUGCCCCAGAGCUGGAAAUUCAUCACUCAAAUUUGUUUCAAGUGUAAAAACGCUAAUAUUUAUGGCCCAUAUUUCCUCCUUUAUGAGUCCUGCAUGUCUCGUUAAGCCUUUGAUGAUAGAAAUUUCUACGUACGUUAGUAUACAAAUGCAGCAUGUGGGUAGAAACAGAACUCUUACUAUCUAAUGAGGAAAAGGCACCCCAGCUCUGAUAAAAUGGACCCGAUUAGCCUGUAAUUUAAGUCCAAGAAAGGUAAAGACAAAUACCAGUCCUGCUAGCCUGCGUUUUUACAUUGGUUUAAAUUCCAUUUAAUUCUAAUUCCUUGAAUAAAUGUCCGGAAAUAACUGUAGGAUUCUCUCUGCCUCGUGACUUGCUCCAGAGAAGAAAGAUGAGAAAGGCCCUGUUCACCACUAAUAUUUAAGUCUCACCAGUUCGCGAAGUCCCUGGAAGGAAUCUUGAGAAUAAAAACACGCACUUCUUUAAAACCAUCAGAUUUGGAUCUGAGAGAACAGCAUCAAAUACUAUUUUAGAAACAACACGUACAAGCGUAAAUAAAAG